This 429-nucleotide ribosomal RNA is filed under the name Verrucomicrobiota bacterium. RNAcentral's name for it is "Verrucomicrobia bacterium partial 16S ribosomal RNA". It matches the Rfam family "Bacterial small subunit ribosomal RNA", at positions 355 to 776 of the family's 1533-position model. The record is from RNAcentral. Lineage: Bacteria; Pseudomonadati; Verrucomicrobiota.
UAGGGAAUCUUCCGCAAUGGACGAAAGUCUGACGGAGCAACGCCGCGUGAGUGAAGAAGGAUUUCGGUUCGUAAAACUCUGUUGUUAGGGAAGAAAAAAUGUAUAGUAACUAUAUACAAAAGAGACGGUACCUAACCAGAAAGCCACGGCUAACUACGUGCCAGCAGCCGCGGUAAUACGUAGGUGGCAAGCGUUGUCCGGAAUUAUUGGGCGUAAAGCGCUCGCAGGUGGUUUAGAAAGUCUGAUGUGAAAGCCCACGGCUCAACCGUGGAGGGUCAUUGGAAACUAAUAAACUUGAGUGCAGGAGAGAAAAGUGGAAUUCCUAGUGUAGCGGUGAAAUGCGUAGAGAUUAGGAGGAACACCGGUGGCGAAAGCGGCUUUUUGGCCUGCAACUGACACUGAGGCGCGAAAGCGUGGGGAGCAAACAGG